AAGUCGUAACAAGGUUUCCGUAGGUGAACCUGCGGAAGGAUCAUUAAAGAGUUGCCGGUGGAAGCCUUCGGGUAGUACGCCGCUCUUCACCCGUGCCUAUACACUUGACUUGUCGGGCUUUCGGCCCUAGCCCGGAGAGACCAAACUCUUGAAUUUAUUACUGUCUGAGUACUAUAUAAUAGUUAAAA
RNAcentral lists this unclassified non-coding RNA (188 nucleotides) under plant metagenome. Its description in RNAcentral is "partial contains small subunit ribosomal RNA and internal transcribed spacer 1". The stretch from base 1 to 46 matches the Rfam family "Eukaryotic small subunit ribosomal RNA", at positions 1786 to 1831 of the family's 1831-position model. The record is from RNAcentral.